RNAcentral lists this non-coding RNA (45 nucleotides) under Schistosoma margrebowiei. The record is from RNAcentral. Lineage: Eukaryota; Metazoa; Platyhelminthes; Trematoda; Strigeidida; Schistosomatidae.
UUCCGACUGACGAAUCCCGGAUAGAACGAAACGCGCGUCGUGGAU